RNAcentral lists this ribosomal RNA (293 nucleotides) under uncultured bacterium. RNAcentral describes it as "partial 16S ribosomal RNA". It matches the Rfam family "Bacterial small subunit ribosomal RNA", at positions 775 to 1066 of the family's 1533-position model. The record is from RNAcentral.
GGAUUAGAUACCCUGGUAGUCCACCCCGUAAACGUUGGGAACUAGUUGUGGGGUCCAUUCCACGGAUUCCGUGACGCAGCUAACGCAUUAAGUUCCCCGCCUGGGGAGUACGGCCGCAAGGCUAAAACUCAAAGGAAUUGACGGGGACCCGCACAAGCGGCGGAGCAUGCGGAUUAAUUCGAUGCAACGCGAAGAACCUUACCAAGGCUUGACAUAUACGAGAACGGGCCAGAAAUGGUCAACUCUUUGGACACUCGUAAACAGGUGGUGCAUGGUUGUCGUCAGCUCGUGCC